Molecule: long non-coding RNA, 329 nt
Filed under: Prunus dulcis (almond)
Lineage: Eukaryota; Viridiplantae; Streptophyta; Magnoliopsida; Rosales; Rosaceae
Description: sRNA ncRNA
Source: RNAcentral
AUGUGGAAUCAAAACAGGGUAAAGCAAAUAGAACAAAGGAUAGUGAAGAGGCUUGCCAACUUUAUCAUCAACUAUUAGUAGGAGUGACUAGGUUUAUACAUGAUCUGAUCAUAUAUGCUUUGCAUUAUUGGACGCAGGAGGCUAUCAACAGGAAUAUGCGCAUUCACAAGUCUUCCAGUCGAAACAUGUUGCGUUGUAAAGCUGCCAAUAUUUGGAAUGACACAGUACCUUGCAGUCGUUGGGGUUGCAAGAUUUUUCUGGUCCUAUGCUCAUAUCAAGCUUGUCAUAGCACGUUACCUCUCUACAACUCACUCCACCUGCAACGUUAA